ACACACAGAGAGUAGAGGAUAGGGGUACACACACAGCGCAGAGGAUAGGGGUACACUCUCUCACAGCGUAGAGGAGAGGAGUACACACUCACACAGAGAGUAGAGGAUAGGGGUACACUCACAGAGCGUAGAGGAGAGGGGUACACUCUCUCACAGUGUAGAGGAGAGGGGUACACUCUCACACAGAGCGUAGAGGAGAGGGGUACACUCACAGAGCGUAGAGGAGAGGGGUACACUCUCACAGAGCGUAGAGGACAGGGUGUAGGCCCUGGAGCGUUCCCUCAGGAUGGGGGCUCACACGGAGAAGGAGGGUUACGCGCUCGUCCUGUCUCACUGCUGCGUGUGAGUAAAGCUCUGAAGGGCCCCUGGACUGGUCACUCCCUGUGUCCGCCUGCAUCAGCGCAGAGUGACCACUGGCCAGGACUGAGGCCACAGGGCUGA
RNAcentral lists this long non-coding RNA (441 nucleotides) under Lepisosteus oculatus (spotted gar). Its description in RNAcentral is "lncRNA (ENSLOCG00000021849.1)". The record is from RNAcentral. Lineage: Eukaryota; Metazoa; Chordata; Actinopteri; Semionotiformes; Lepisosteidae.